GGUGGUUCAGUGGUAAAGCGCUUGCCUUGCAUGCAUGAGGCCCUGGGUUCAAUUCCUCAGCACCA
Molecule: transfer RNA, 65 nt
Filed under: Dipodomys ordii (Ord's kangaroo rat)
Lineage: Eukaryota; Metazoa; Chordata; Mammalia; Rodentia; Heteromyidae
Rfam family: tRNA
About the family: Transfer RNA (tRNA) molecules are approximately 80 nucleotides in length.
Source: Rfam by way of RNAcentral